UACGUAGGGGGCAAGCGUUGUCCGGAUUUAUUGGGCGUAAAGAGCGUGUAGGCGGCCAUGCAGGUCAGCUGUGAAAACUCGAGGCUCAACCUCGAGACGUCGGUUGAAACCGUAUGGCUAGAGUCCGGAAGAGGAGAGUGGAAUUCCCGGUGUAGCGGUGAAAUGCGCAGAUAUCAGGAAGAACACCUAUGGCGAAGGCAGCUCUCUGGGACGGUACUGACGCUGAGACGCGAAAGCGUGGGGAGCGAACAGG
This 253-nucleotide ribosomal RNA is filed under the name uncultured bacterium. RNAcentral describes it as "partial 16S ribosomal RNA". It matches the Rfam family "Bacterial small subunit ribosomal RNA", at positions 524 to 776 of the family's 1533-position model. The record is from RNAcentral.